GACGAACGCUGGCGGCGUGCUUAACACAUGCAAGUCGAACGGAAAGGCCUCUUUCGGUUGGUCUUCCGGUUGCCAACUGGUGGGUAACACGUGAGUAACCUGCCCUUUACUUUUUGGUAACUGCUGGAGACGGGGGCUAAUACCUGAUACCAGCUCCGACUUCCUGGUGGAAGUUGGGAAUCUUCGGCCGUUGGGGAUUUACUGGCGGCGUAUCAGCUUUUUGGUGGGGUAGUGGCUUACCAAGGCUUUGGCGAGUAGCCGUCCUUAGAGGGUGACAGGCGACAUUGGGACUGAGAUACGGCAGAGACUGGUAAGGGUGGACGCAGGGGGGAAUAUUGAACCAUGCGUGGAGGCCUGAUGCAGAAAGGCCGCGGGCGGGAGGACGGUCUUCGGGUUGUAAAAAGCCUUCGGUCAUGACGCAGCUUUGUGUGACGGUAGUGGGUAAAGAAGCACCGGCUAACUACGUG
This 467-nucleotide ribosomal RNA is filed under the name uncultured bacterium. RNAcentral describes it as "partial 16S ribosomal RNA". It matches the Rfam family "Bacterial small subunit ribosomal RNA", at positions 28 to 507 of the family's 1533-position model. The record is from RNAcentral.